UGAGAGUUCAAGAGUACGUGAAACCGCUUAGAGGCAAACGGGUGGACCCGCAAUACGUCGACCCGGGGGAUUCAACCAGGCCGUUGGGCACGGGACGCGCGGGGGUUUUGCUGAGCUGUAAAGCCAGUGCCUUCGCGUGGGUCUCCGGGCGGACUGGUGCACUUUCCUCGGGUCGAUUGCCACGACCGGCUCUCCGUGCGGCCAAAAGCCUGUCGCUGGGAAGGUGACCGACGGCCUCCGUGCCGGCGGUGUUAUAGCCCAGCUCGUUCGUUGUGCUCGUCGGAGGGCCGAGGAAGUGUUGCCGCCUCUCAAUCACCCUCCGGCCAUCCUUGCUCGUCACGACUGGGGUGGACUGCUUCGUCAGUGCUCUCCCGACCGCGAGCGUAGGAAGGGUUGGAACGGUGCGAGAAGCUUCGGGCCAGUGGCGAAUCGGUCGGUCCUCCACCCGACCCGUCUUGAAACACGGACCAAGGAGUCUAACAA
RNAcentral lists this ribosomal RNA (483 nucleotides) under Sinanodonta woodiana. RNAcentral describes it as "partial large subunit ribosomal RNA". Lineage: Eukaryota; Metazoa; Mollusca; Bivalvia; Unionida; Unionidae. The record is from RNAcentral.